UACGUAGGUGGCAAGCGUUGUCCGGAAUUAUUGGGCGUAAAGCGCGCGCAGGCGGUUCUUUAAGUCUGAUGUGAAAGCCCACGGCUCAACCGUGGAGGGUCAUUGGAAACUGGGGAACUUGAGUGCAGAAGAGGAAAGCGGAAUUCCACGUGUAGCGGUGAAAUGCGUAGAGAUGUGGAGGAACACCAGUGGCGAAGGCGGCUUUUUGGUCUGUAACUGACGCUGAGGCGCGAAAGCGUGGGGAGCAAACAGG
This 253-nucleotide ribosomal RNA is filed under the name uncultured bacterium. RNAcentral describes it as "partial 16S ribosomal RNA". It matches the Rfam family "Bacterial small subunit ribosomal RNA", at positions 524 to 776 of the family's 1533-position model. The record is from RNAcentral.